GAUGAACGCUGGCGGCGUGCCUAAUACAUGCAAGUCGAGCGAACGGGCGAGAAGCUUGCUUCUCUGAUGUUAGCGGCGGACGGGUGAGUAACACGUGGAUAACCUACCUAUAAGACUGGGAUAACUUCGGGAAACCGGAGCUAAUACCGGAUAAUAUUUUGAACCGCAUGGUUCAAAAGUGAAAGACGGUCUUGCUGUCACUUAUAGAUGGAUCCGCGCUGCAUUAGCUAGUUGGUAAGGUAACGGCUUACCAAGGCAACGAUGCAUAGCCGACCUGAGAGGGUGAUCGGCCACACUGGAACUGAGACACGGUCCAGACUCCUACGGGAGGCAGCAGUAGGGAAUCUUCCGCAAUGGGCGAAAGCCUGACGGAGCAACGUCGCGUGAGUGAUGAAGGUCUUCGGAUCGUAAAACUCUGUUAUUAGGGAAGAACAUAUGUGUAAGUAACUGUGCACAUCUUGACGGUACCUAAUCAGAAAGCCACGGCUAACUACGUG
This 497-nucleotide ribosomal RNA is filed under the name uncultured bacterium. RNAcentral's name for it is "partial 16S ribosomal RNA". It matches the Rfam family "Bacterial small subunit ribosomal RNA", at positions 28 to 507 of the family's 1533-position model. The record is from RNAcentral.